Molecule: transfer RNA, 71 nt
Filed under: Cordylochernes scorpioides
Lineage: Eukaryota; Metazoa; Arthropoda; Arachnida; Pseudoscorpiones; Chernetidae
Description: tRNA-Gly
Source: RNAcentral
UGCAUCGGCUGGGAAUCGAACCUGGGCCGCCCGCGUGGCAGACGAGCAUUCUACCACUGAACAACCGAUGC